GGCUGGUCUGAGGGCAGUGGUAUUUACAACUAAUUGAUCACACUCAGUUACAGAUUUCUUUGUUCCUGCUCCACACCUGCUGCUUCAUUUGAUUAGUCUUUU
This 102-nucleotide Y RNA is filed under the name Colobus angolensis palliatus. Its description in RNAcentral is "Y RNA (ENSCANG00000007061.1)". It matches the Rfam family "Y RNA". From Rfam's summary of the family: Y RNAs are components of the Ro ribonucleoprotein particle (Ro RNP), in association with Ro60 and La proteins. The Y RNAs and Ro60 and La proteins are well conserved, but the function of the Ro RNP is not known. In humans the RNA component can be one of four small RNAs -- hY1, hY3, hY4 and hY5. Lineage: Eukaryota; Metazoa; Chordata; Mammalia; Primates; Cercopithecidae. The record is from Rfam by way of RNAcentral.